GUUCUCCCUUGCUGUGAGAAGCCUUUCCUUCGUGCUGACACAGCAUUUGUACAGUGCUCUGGAUCAGGAACUAAUCCAGACUAACAGCCAGUUUUUUGCUUGCCUGGCACCAGAAAGUGAGGGCUGCCUUCCUUCUACCCUGCACUUUAUACAGACCUGCCAGUACAAUGCUGUUUGGGCUUCAGCAUCUUGUCUUCCUGUGUUUCUCAGUGACUUGAGAGUGCACAGCACUGAGAUUUCAGCUGCACCUGACCCCGGAAUUUCACUCUGUUGGACGUGGUGGAACUCAGCAAUUAUUUUACAAGGAAGGAAACGUUGCCAUGCAGCAUCUCACCAGGCCAAACCGCAGCUGGAGCUCUUCCCUUGCACAUCAGAGCGGCUGCCGGGAGGUGGAGCACCGCACCCGCUGCACAUCGUCACCGAGCACCAACCGAGAGCUUCCAGAUCGUCCCCCGCUCCAGCCAGGCUGACCCUAAGCCUCCAUCCACACAAGGUCAGCUGCUUGCUGCCAGCAAAUUAAGCAGAAGGCGUUGCUGCUGGUGUUGCUCAUUACUACCAUUGGUGCAGGUGGGCUCUCUGUUUGCUGGCUGCAGACGUGGGCUGCGCUGCUCUAGCCAAAAGAUGCCUACAGCUUGUUGGAGAAGUGCAGAAGCUCUAGGGGCAAAGCAC
Molecule: long non-coding RNA, 669 nt
Organism: Gallus gallus (chicken)
Lineage: Eukaryota; Metazoa; Chordata; Aves; Galliformes; Phasianidae
Source: Ensembl